This 5342-nucleotide long non-coding RNA is filed under the name Capsicum annuum. Its description in RNAcentral is "long non-coding RNA (CANN_LNC011334)". The record is from RNAcentral. Lineage: Eukaryota; Viridiplantae; Streptophyta; Magnoliopsida; Solanales; Solanaceae.
UUCAUGUGGUCUAUCUAUCUAUCCCUUUACUUUCUUGUAAUCGUGUUUAGUGUUUGUGUUGUAAUCUUGUGUUCUUGUUGUUAUUGUUAAAUCCGAAUCUUGUGCCUUGUGUUCAUCUUGUUCUUCACGUAUUAUUGCUGUUUUGGUGUGAAAUACACCUUGCUCACCUUGUAUUCUUGUUGUAUUUGUGAAUCCGAGAGAGGUCUCCAAUCGGUCCAAGGAUCUUAGUGAUUUGUGGACUGUUUUGGAGUGUUUGUGGACUAUUUUUGAGUGAUUUCGUGUCUUUCCAGUUUUUAUCGUAUCAUUUGGUAUCAAAGCAUUGCUUGAUCUUGUUCCCACAAGAUCAAUCUUGGGCUUGCUAGUGGAAAAAAAAAGUGUUCAAAACUGAAAAAUUUCAGAAAAAAAUAGCAAUCUGUCCGUGUUGUGUUCUUGGCCGAAAAGUGUGUUCUUGUUGUGUCUUGGCUGAGAUUUUUACUUGUAUUUGUUGUCUCUAAGUGUUAGUUUUGUUCCUCACUAACACAUUGAGUCUAUAUCUAGAUUUGAGCUUUAAAAAUUGACGUUGUUGUGAACAAGAAGUGGCCGUGAGUUGAAGAUGUUGUUUUAACUUGGCUGUGUGGUGACCUUGUUGUUGGGCGUUGGUUGAUGUUGUUUUUGAUGUUGGUGGUUGUUGUGUUCUUGUUGUUCAUCACAACCUUCAUCUAGUGUUAAAACCGAAAAUACAACACCAAAGAAACUUGGCCAUUUGUUGGUGGUUUUAUUGUUUGUCUUGUUGUUGUGGAAUUGGGCGUUGGAACUUCUUGUUGUUCUUGGUAGAUUGUUGUUGGUUGUUCUUGUUGUGGUUGUUGAGUUCUUGAAGUUCUUCACCAUAUUCAUCACCUUGUUAACAUAAGGUGAACGAUAGAUCCUAAAAGGUGAAGGAAAGAGGUGUAAGUAAUUGUUAGUCUUGAAAGACCCCCAACCACCAAAAGACUUUACAUCACUUCUCAAUUCCACUUUCCCAUGAAACAUGGGUCUAUGUUUUAAGGAGAAGUACAAGUCUAGUCAAAGACUUUUGAGUCUUGAAAUUUGAAUUCCAAAGACUAGUUUGUAUUUUCCUUCAUUGAACAUUUUCCAUCAAAGUCCAAAUUGUAGAAUUGAUCAAGACUUCCAAAUUUGGAAAAUAAAAUUGUUGACCGAGGCAAAUCAAGGGCUGCCAUGUCACAAAUUACUGUUCACUGACAAAUUUUAAGCUCAAAUUUUGAUCUUUUAGUUUCAUUUUGUGUCUUUAGUUUCAUUUGUUGAUUCCCAUACUAACUUACAAACUAGUGACUAAUUACUAGAUUGUGAGUUGGUUUGAAACCGUAUUUUUUUUUAUGUGUGUUUGCGUUCCUUUGUGUGUUUUAUUCUUUUGAGUCGUUGUACACACUUGAUUCACCUCUCAACACCUCUCAGAGUACAAGCAAGCUUACAAAACUUGUGAGAUUGAGUGUGAGGGAUCCGAGAGACAAGAAAUAAAAGAGAGAGUGAGGAUGUUUUUGUACAACUAACGUGUUUUCUGUUUUGUAGGUAACUCCUUUGCCAUAAUGGACACCAUUUUGGCCCACCUUAAUGCUAUUGCCCGAGAAAUAGCUAAGGUGAAUGCGGAUCUUGACAAAUUGGGCUCGGAUAUGUCUACUAUACUUGAGAGGUUGGAUCGAGUGGAGAACCGAAGGAACUCUCAUGUUUCUACUCCCGAAGCUUUACCUCAAACGAUCAACCCUCUAAGAUCACAACUAAAUGACAGAGACAUAAGCCAAGCCAACAAAUGUUCUCAAACCCGAGACCUAAAUGAGUCACUUCCCCCUCAAUUCGAUCAAGUCCAACAAGAGGGACUUGGAAGCCAAUUUCCUCCCAUCCAAGCUCCACAGCCGAAGCUCUCCCUUACCAAAUCAUUCCUCUCAACCGAAACUCUACUUCACCAAAACCAAUAUAUCCAUGUAGAGGUGUAUGGUAGAAAGGAACACGAAGGAUAUGGAGACUACUACAAUACUUUUAUGAUGGUAGGAAACUUGUUUCGGAUAAGAUUGAAGACAGAGCUUAACAUAGAGAGGAAACCGAGGUUCAAAAUGAAGAUGUUGGCCGAGACUUGUUGUUAUUGAGUCCUCGUAUUCUUCAUGAUUUUGUGGACUGUUUUUUUUGACUUAUUUUUUGUGACUUGUUUGUGGAUUGUUUUGAGUAGGUUUCCUUUGAAGUGACCAAUUGAACGAGGUGAAGCCGUGAAUUUGUGGACAAAUUUCUCUCAAGAUGGAGAGGAUGAUACGGGAAUAAUCUCGGAUAUGGACUUAGGAGAGUGCGUGUUGGACCCGAGCCUUGGCAUGUGCAAUUGAAGUGUAAAAAAGGCCCAAAAUGCACCCAAAUCAGCCCAUAAAUUACACUAAAUGGGUGCCCACUCUUUGAAGGGCCUUUUGGUCAUUUUCACUUAUAUUUUGUAAUAGUUAUAAAAGGAACAUUGUAGGGUUUUUAGAUUUAGUUUUUGAUGAUAUUUGUGAAUCUUGAAAGACCAAUUGCUCACCUUGUAUUCUUGCUGUAUUUGUGAAUCCGAGAGAGGUCUCCAAUCGGUCCAAGGAUCUUAGUGAUUUGUGGACUGUUUUGGAGUGUUUGUGGACUGUUUUUGAGUGAUUUCGUGUCUUUCAAGUUUUUAUCAUAUCAGGCUUGGACAAGCCAAAACCAAAAUGAGGGUGAUACUAGUAGUGUUGCAAACUUGUCUAGAAAUGUUGGUGCUUGAGUGGUGGACUCUCUCUCGUGUCAUCGUAAGAGUGUUGGUAUUGCUUUUACAUUAGUUAAGGGUCUUAGUGUUUGAGAUACACUUAGGUUCUUAGUUCUUGUAGGAGUUUAUGUCUCACUACCUAUCUUUAUCUCCUUGUAAUCGUUUGAAGUAAUUGUCUCUUGUUUAGUGAAUCCGUUGGUUUGUUUCCGUUUUGUUGUUGUUGUUGUUCCUUGUCAUCUUGUUGCUCAUCUCUUGUUGUUGCUGUUUUGGUGUGAAAUACACCUUGUUCUUUUGUCACUCUUGUGUUGUUGUUGAUUGGCCGAGACUUGUUCUCAUUUGGUUCUCGAUUUCUAUUGUGUUUUUUGUGUCUUGUUUCCGUAUUGUGGGUUGAUUCCGUUAUUAUUUGGUAUUAGAGCUAAGGUUGAUUUUGUUCCCACAAGAUCAAUCUUGGGCUUGUUUGUUUGGUGUGAAAUACACCUUGUUCUCUCGUCACUCUUGUGUUCUUGUUGUUGAUCGAGACUUGGUAUCAUUUGGUCCUCGAUUUCUGUUGUGUUUUGUAUCUUGUUUCCGUAUUAUGGGUUGAUUUCGUUAUUAUUUGGUAUCAGAGCUAAGGCUGAUUUUGUUCCCACAAGAUCAAUCUUGGGCUUGGUUGUUUGAAAAUUCAAAAAAAAAUAAGGUGUUCUACGUGUUGGUGUUCUUGGUCGAGAAAGUUGUUCUUGGUGUCUCUUUGGCCGAAAAAGUGAGUCUAGAUCUAGGAGUUCUAUUGUGUCUCUUGGUGUUAGUUUUUGUCUUCACUAACACCCUCGAGUCUAGAUCCAAGUUGAGCUUGAAUGUUUGUUGUGGUAUUGUUGUUGCGGAUUCAAGGUUUGGCCGAAGUAUUGUUGGUGUUGGUUUUGCGGAUCCAAAAUUUGGAUGUUUUUGGUGUGUUGUUGUGAAAUCUGAAGUUUAAAGGUGUGUUGGUAUUAUUGUUGUGGAUUUGUGUUUGAAAGAGGUGGUGUAGUUGUUGGGAGGUUCAACUUGAACCUUGGUCUUCAAAUCUUGUUGAAGGUUCUUGGUGUUCUUGGCUAAUCUUCAUGUCUUGUGCCAAGGAGAACCUUCAAUAGUAGUGUUUGAUCUUAAGACCAAGUGGAAGAGUGUCGUCUUUCUUGUUUGUCUUGAAACAAAUCCCAAAACUAUACCAAAGUAGUAAGGGACAAAAGACUUACCAAAAGACUUGUUACCAAAAGGGAGUAAGAGGACUUUUCAAGACUACCCAAAAGAGGAAAGAGCCAACCACCCUUCAAAAGGUGUUUUGCCCAAAAGGUGCAAAGAAAGUCAACCUAUUUUGAAUAUGAAAAAGGCUCCAAAACUCGUGUCUUCCCCUCCAAAACCGAAUUUACUCUUCCACAAAUUGAAAAUUGGACAAAAAUUCAAGUUGGAAAAACAAUAAUUUUUCGAAGUCCGCAACCAAUCCAAGGCCGCCACGUCACUAUUUCCAUACAACACAAAAUCCACAACCAAUCAAGGACUGCCACGUUACCCAAUUUGUACAACUAACUUGUUUGUGUUUUGUAGGUAACUUCUUGGCUACAAUGCAUAACAAUGCUCUUAGUGCGGGAUUGAAACUAUCAACCGAAGCAUCGAAAAGAUGCACGUGCAUAUGUCCUCAAUCAAAGGAAGCAUGUCCUUAACCAAAGGAGACAUGUCUACUAUGGUUGAGAGGUUGGAUCGUAUGGAGAGUCGAAAGAACUCUCGUGCUUCCACUCCUCGACACCAUGUUUCCUCAAGUGAGCAUGACCAAAACACUUCCACCAUUAUUGCCCUCGAAACUUUACCUCAAAUGAUCAAUCCUCUAAGACCACCACAAAAUGCCAUAAGCUAAGCUCCCAAUUACCCUCAAAAUUGAGCCCUAAGUGAUCCACCUCCCCCGCAAUUUGAUCAAGUCCAACAAGGACUUAGAAGCCAAAUGCCUCCACUAAAAUCGGACUCUCCCGUCGAAGCUCCAUAACCGAAGCUUCACUUCACCGAAUCAAUCCUCUCAAUCGAAGCUUCACUUCACCAAAAUUGACACGUCCAUGUAGAGGAAUAUGGUAGAGAGGGACAUGAAGGAUAUGGAGUUAGCAGUGGUGCUUAUAUGAUGGAAAAAGAGUUGAGAGAGAGACGUAGGGAUCAACAAGGAACCCGCCACCAAAAGAAGAGGUAGGAAUUGAAUCGGGUGAGAUUGAAGGCAAAGCUCAAGAUGGAGAGAAAAAGGAAACCGAGGUGCAAAAUGAAGAUGGAGGUGAAGAUGUUGGAUCGCAUGAUAGUGUGUGUGACGUGCCCAAUUGAAAGAGAUGAAGCCAUGAAUUUGUGGUCAAAUUCCUCUCAAGAUGGAGAGGAUGAUACAGGCACGAUCAUGAAGAUGGGCGUACGUGAAUGUGUAUUGAAUUAAGCCAUGGGAGUGUACAAGUUGGAAGUGUGAAGAGGGCUUUGGAACACUCCAAAGCCGCCCCUACAUGCACUCCAAGGGCGCCCUUUUGCUUCCCUUCAUUAAGGGCUUUUCGGACAUUUCACUUCGUUUUGUAAUAAGUCUAUAAAUAGACUAAUGUUUGGUCAUUUUAACUUAGUUGUUGAAUGAUAUAGUAAGACAAACUUUGAU